GUUCGGACUGUAGGCUGCAACUCGCCUACACGAAGUCGGAAUCGCUAGUAAUCGCGGAUCAGCAUGCCGCGGUGAAUACGUUCCCGGGCCUUGUACACACCGCCCGUCACACCAUGGAAGUUUGCAAUGCCCAAAGUCGGUGGCCUAACCAUUUGGAGGGAACCGCCUAAGGCAGGGCAGAUGACUGGGGUGAAGUCGUAACAAGGUAGC
This 210-nucleotide ribosomal RNA is filed under the name uncultured bacterium. RNAcentral describes it as "partial 16S ribosomal RNA". It matches the Rfam family "Bacterial small subunit ribosomal RNA", at positions 1291 to 1500 of the family's 1533-position model. The record is from RNAcentral.